RNAcentral lists this long non-coding RNA (1977 nucleotides) under Solanum tuberosum (potato). Its description in RNAcentral is "long non-coding RNA (STUB_LNC008578)". Lineage: Eukaryota; Viridiplantae; Streptophyta; Magnoliopsida; Solanales; Solanaceae. The record is from RNAcentral.
UGAUAAAAUAUCUUCAACUACUGGGAAAGCCAAACAUAUCAGACUUCUUCCCUAUGCUUGCAAGGUUUGAUUUACAAGGAAUACAGAAAGACGCGGAGGCUCUUUUGAAGUCGGUUGAAAGUAUAUUGGACCCUGCCAUAAAUGAACACUUGAAGAUGCUUUCAGACAGAAGAGAAGGUGAAAUCCAGCAGAAUGAGAAGAAAGACUUUAUACAGAUCCUGUUAGAGCUAAUGGAGCAGAAAGACAUUGGUAUAUCACUGGACUUGGUGAAAAUAAAGGCCAUCUUGGUGGUAAGUUAUAUGGUUCCUUCAUUUUUUCUAUAUCGUCGUCCUCUCGUUAACCUUGUUUAUCCUGUGAAUGCCAUCAUAUUAUUGUUGAAAAUACAAUUAAAUAAUAAAAGUAUGUUCUCUUUAACAACUUAAGCUUUUAGAUGAGAUGAUCACACACUUCAACAAUUACUUUAUCUGUCUGAAGAUUUAACAGUGUCAUACAAAAUUUGUAAGACUAAUUUAGCUAAGUAUGUGAUUCAAGCAUCUUAAUCAAGAACUCUAAUCAUUUAUCUAACCACAUAUUGGUCACGGGUUCGAGCCAUGGAAACAGUCAGGUUUCUAAUCACACCCAAGGGUGCGGCUCUUCUCCGGACUCUGCUAAUGUGGGAUGUUUUGAGCACUAGAUUGUAGAGAAUAGCAGAAGAAAACUAUAAUCGGAAAACCUUCUACUAGCCCAAGAUCGUUAACUAAGAUCGGAAGAUUCAACUAAGGAAGAGGAAGCUAGAAAGGAGAAUUUGUUUAUGGAAGAAGACUAUUUUAUUUAAGUUGUUCUUGGGUUGCCUUUUGGUUGUAUACAAAUGACAAUGGUCACCCCUAUUUAUACUUGUGUAGGGAUGGUUCUAGCUAUUACAAGUUCUAGACUAUUCUAUCAUUUACUACAAAAAUAUCUUCUCUAGAAUAUCUGCAAGAAAGUUCUAGCGAACUUAUCUUCUAGCAAUUUCUAUAGAAUAUCUAGAUAUUUAUUCAAGGCAACUUCUCUAGAAUAUCUAGAUAUUUCCUUAAGAUAAUUAUUCUAGGUACUACACUAGACCAUUAUAGAAACUAUACUAGAAAAUUCAAUGAUAUUCCAAAAAUCCACUUUAUCAUUUUUCGCACAGAUUGCCCUUUUUUUUAAAGUCCUAAAAAGAUAUACAUACUCAUACCUAAACAUGAAUGUUGUGCCCCCUACAUGCCGCGGCCUCAUACAGGCAGGGGCAGAGCCACAAGAAGUUAUGAGUUCGCAGAAUCCAGUAGCUUUGGCCCAAACUAUGUAAUUCUAUUAAGAAAUUCACUUAACAUAUUUAAAUAAUUUAUUCGGAACCCAAUAAAUAAAAAAAGUUGUGGUUCAGAACCUAUAAACUUAAAAUACUGGAUACGUGUCUGCCUACAGGUAGUUCCUUUCCCCUGUCUUUAUAUAUGUUUCUUCAUUGUAGGACAUUAUUAUUGGUGGGACUGACUCUACAAUUACAACGGUCGAGUGGGUAAUGACAGAGCUUCUGAAUAAUCCGGAGAAGAUGUCAAAGGUGCAGCAGGAAUUGAAACAUGUUGUAGGGAUGAAUAACGUUGUUGAAGAAUCCCACUUACCAGAGCUGCACUAUCUUGAUGCAAUUUUAAAGGAGACGUUACGUUUACACCCUGCAUUACCACUACUUCUCCCAAAGCGCCCGAGCCAAUCUGCAAUAGUAGGUGGAUACAAAAUACCUGAGGGAACUAAAGUAUUCUUGAAUGUUUAUGCAAUUCAUAGGGAUCCUCAGGUGUGGGAAAGUCCACUAGAAUUCCAGCCUGAAAGGUUCUUGAGUCGCUCGACAAAUUUAGACUAUGCUGGAAAUAAUAUGAAGUACCUUCCAUUUGGUUCAGGGAGGAGAAUUUGUGCUGGCCUUCCUUUAGCAGAGAAAAUGGUCAUGUUUAUGUUAGCUUCAUUGUUACAUUCCUUUAAUUGGAAACUCCC